Molecule: ribosomal RNA, 135 nt
Filed under: uncultured bacterium
Lineage: Bacteria
Also listed under: 1 other name
Description: partial 16S ribosomal RNA
Source: RNAcentral
CACGUAGUUAGCCGGGGCUUCCUCCUCAAGUACCGUCAUUAUCUUCCUUGAGGACAGAGCUUUACGACCCGAAGGCCUUCAUCGCUCACGCGGCGUUGCUGCAUCAGGCUUUCGCCCAUUGUGCAAUAUUCCCCA